RNAcentral lists this ribosomal RNA (440 nucleotides) under uncultured bacterium. Its description in RNAcentral is "partial 16S ribosomal RNA". It matches the Rfam family "Bacterial small subunit ribosomal RNA", at positions 338 to 795 of the family's 1533-position model. The record is from RNAcentral.
CCUACGGGUGGCUGCAGUGGGGGAUAUUGCACAAUGGGGGGAACCCUGAUGCAGCGACGCCGCGUGGGUGAAGGAGUGCUUCGGCAUGUAAAGCCCUAUCGGCAGGGAAGAAGCAAGACGGUACCUGACUAAGAAGCCCCGGCUAACUCCGUGCCAGCAGCCGCGGUAAUACGGAGGAUGCGACCGUUAUCCGGAUUUAUUGGGUUUAAAGGGUGCGCAGGCGGAUUUUUAAGUCAGCGGUCAAAUCGUGGGGCUCAACCCCAUCCAGCCGUUGAAACUGGGGAUCUAGAGUGUGCGAGAGGUAUGCGGAAUGCGUGGUGUAGCGGUGAAAUGCAUAGAUAUCACUCAGAACCCCGAUUGCGAAGGCAGCAUACCGGUGCACAACUGACGCUCAGGCACGAAAGCGUGGGUAUCGAACAGGAUUAGAUACCCCAGUAGUC